Molecule: ribosomal RNA, 623 nt
Filed under: Caprella mutica
Lineage: Eukaryota; Metazoa; Arthropoda; Malacostraca; Amphipoda; Caprellidae
Description: bacterial SSU rRNA
Rfam family: Eukaryotic small subunit ribosomal RNA
Source: RNAcentral
GAUCCUGCCAGUAGUCAUAUGCUUGUCUCAAAGAUUAAGCCAUGCAUGUCUAAGUCCAAGCUGUGUCUUGACACGGCGAGACCGCGGACGGCUCAUUAAAUCAGUCGUUGUCCAAAUGGGCCAGUACUAAUUACUUGGAUAACUGUGGUAAUUCCAGAGCUAAUACAUGCAACUUAUACCCUGAUGCUUCUCGUUCGCGCGUUGCUGACGGGUGCUUUUAUUAGACCAAACCGCUGGGGCUCUCUUCACGGAGAGCCUGAUUUGCUAUGUGGUGACUCUGGAUAACCUUUUGAUGACAAGCGCACGUACCUCUCGUAGGACGGCGCUGCCACUUUCGAGUGUCUGCCUUAUCAGCUGUCAACCGCUCGCUAUACGCGACCGAUGGCUUUGACGGGUAACGGGGAAUCAGGGUUCGAUUCCGGAGAGGCAGCCUGAGAGACGGCUACCACGUCCAAGGACGGCAGCAGGCACGCAAAUUACCCAAUCCCAGCACAUCCUGGGGGAGGUAGUGACGAAACAUAACGAAGCGUGCGCCCUUCACGGGUCUCGCUAUCGGAAUGAGCACUUUUCUAAACACCCUGUUGAGAACCUACUGAAGGGCAAGUCUGGUGCCAGCAGCCGCG